UCCAGAAUCAAUUCCAUAAAUUAUAGGCAGUCCAUGUAUAGAGUUGGUUCAAAUUCUCCCAUGAGAAACUACAGGGUAAUUCAAAAUGGAGCUGGAGACCUCAGUCUUGCAUCUUAAACUUUCCCUGACAAAGUUUAAGCAGAUCUGAGAUAAACGAGAUCAGGUCCCAAAGUUUUUUUUAUAUCUGAAGCUCAACCUCUUGUCACAGCAGGCUUUCCUUGGAUGAAGAAUAGGAACCCCAUCAAGCACCAUGAAAAUUCAUCAUUUUCAGUUUGCAGCUUUGACUGCAAAUGUGCCACUAACCAGUGGGAUCCUGUCUGUGGAGACAAUGGAAUGACGUACAUGUCAGCUUGUCUUGCUGAAUGCAAGGCUUUGACAGUACAAGGAAAGAACAUGGUGAGGUUUCAGUCAGAGAUGAGCACAACCUGCAGAACUGAGAUCGAUGUUCGGAUGGCGGCACUUUAAUAAAAAAUAAUAUGAGUAAUUAAUAACACUUACAUCAUACUUUUAUGAAUAGAUCUCAAAGUGUUUUACAAAGGAGGGCUGUAUCACAAUACCCAUUUUACAGACGGGGAAGCUGAGGCAUGGAGCAGUGAAAUGACUUGCUCAAGGUCACCCAGGGGAGAGGCUUAGCCUGUUUGGAGUAGUUAUGCUGUAAACCCCUUCAACAGCUUAUUUUAGGGGCUUGAGUCAAUGCCCUCUGAUGUCAAUGGGAAUCUUUCCAUUGUCUUUAAUAGGCUGUGGAUCAUGCCCUAGAAGCAGCCAUCAAAUGUUUCUCCCUUUCUUCCUUUACUACUUUGGAAUAGCUGACAUCAAUUUGUGUAUAUUUUUGACUAUUUCAGUUCCUUUUUAAUUUCCUUUCCCUGUCUCUUCAUUAAACAAGGACAAACUGUUCUAAACAGGUAUUAUCAAGAUUGAUUUUGUUACUUAGAUUGUGUAUCUGCUUUAGAUGUGUCGAUCCAGCACUGCAAUUGCUUGCAAUUGAUAUGUAUACACUGAUUAUGAGAGCUCUAAGAGAGAGAGUAUUCUGGCUCUAUUAGUUGUUUAGCUGCCACUCGAUAUACGCUGCAAACUGCCUUUUCAGUAGUGUGUGAGACUUCUGGAUACCAAACAUCCAUUAAUAAUAAAUGGGAUCUAAAAUAACCAUAUGGUAGAGAUUCAGGAAAAUAAGCAUGUGCUCAUAUCUACCUGUAUUCAGGACAGCACUGAAAUCAAUAGGACAUAAACAUGGGCUUAAGUGCUGUCCUGCACAGGAAUGUUUUCCUGAAUCAGGGCCUUGGGAAUUACAUGCAUAAAGUAAUUCUGCAUAGUAUGCUGAAAAAGAACCACUCUGGUUUAAUCAAAUAUGGGCAUACAGCAGACUACAUGAAAGCUUCUGUUGUCAGACAUGUCUAGUAAUUGGUGCUUCAGUUUUUGGGUGCCCAAUUUGAGACAGCUUAAAGGCACAAAAUUUUCAAAGGGUCAGCGCUCAGUAUUUUCUGAAAAAUCAGGCUCCUUUAAUGUGUCUACAGUUAGGCACCCACUUGAAAAUUUAGGCCAAAUUGCAUGGUAGUAAAUAUUUUAAAAGUUUUCUAGCUUCCAUAUCAAAACUAAAACGAUACAGGAAUUUACUCCAUUGACUUCAAUGGAAUGUAAGCACAUGCUUUGUGCUUGAGGAGUUCUAUACUAGGGAAACUUUCCUGAUGUGAGGCCUUCUAUAUAGGGGUUUUGGUUUUGCCUCAAAAUGUGCAUAAGCAUGAAUAUGAGCCAGGUUUUUGUAGGACAGAAGAUUUUAAUGAUUUUGAGUUAUGAUUAUUUUAUGAUUUAAUGCGUAAAGAUACAAGUAUUAACUAUUUUUAAUGUUACAUAUAUAUCUUAUCCUUCAAUUAAUUAUCCAAUUAAACUAAAAUGUGUGACACAGAAUUAUUUCUUAAUCUAGAUUAGAGAGAAUUUUGAGCAUGCUCAAAACCAUAACUAAGCAAAAGGACUUUCUUGCAACAUUUGAUGUAUUUCAAACUCCAGCAGACUGAACCUGUUCUAAUAUUUUCACUCUGCUAUUUUUGUACUAGUGCUUUUGAAAUUUAAUUUGACAUCUUGAUGCAUUUGUUGCUUGUUUCAUUACAGCUGGAAUUCCAGCCCCCGUUUAUUUUGGUGCUUUGGUAGACAGAACUUGCUUAAAAUAGGGAAGUAAAAUCUGUGAGGGUCGAGGAGCUUGUAGGAUAUAUGAUUCUAAUGUGUGGGUUUUUUCUCUUUUUUGUAAACAUCUUGGAAAUUUCACAUGAAGAUAUGUAUUAAUAGUCAUAGGUCAUUACAGCUGCUUUUCUUACACAUUUAAAAGUCAAGAAAUGCUAAAGUGAAGGCUGCAUUAUCUAUUGGAGUAAGUUGCUCUCCUCCACGGUUAUUUUCAGAGGGGCCUUGAUAAUAACAAUUAAGGACGAUGUUAUGGACUCACGCUCUGGCAUAGACCUGGCCACUCAACUACUGGCCCUCUGCAUAGGAAGCAUGGACAGGUAAACGGGGCAUUGCUGGAGCAUGUCUCCAUGUUUUACCUUAGAGACCAACAAAUUUAUUAGAGCAUAAGCUUUUGUGGGCUACAGCCCACUUCAUCGGAUGCAUUGAAUUGAAUGAAGUGAGCUGUAGCUCACGAAAGCUUAUGCUCUAAUAAAUUUGUUAGUCUCUAAGGUGCCACAAGUACUCCUGGUUUUUUUGCGGAUACAGACUAACAUGGCUGCUACUCUGAAACCUGUCUCCAUGUUGGCAAUUCUCAGCUGCCAGAAGAGCCACGUGGGAACCAUGAGUAUCUGGGCUUAAGUUAGAACAGCCUUCUGGGUCUUCUAAAACACACUGGGCACCAAAUUAGUGUAAAGCCACAUUUCCACCUGUUCCAUCUCCCAUCUUAUAGUGAAGUGAAGACUCACCAGCAAGAUGCCUCCUGCUGGUUGUCUCGGGAAUUAGCUCUUCACCAGCUUCAGAGCACCCUCUGCUGCCUGGUGUCUCGCCUGCCUCAGGCCCCCAUGUCCCUCCCGGUGCCCCUUACCCUGCGGUUCUGCCCCAGUAGUACCCCCACUCUCUGGGUCUCCCCUCCCAGGGGAACCCCCAACCAUCUAAGCCCACCUUACCUCAGUGGCUACUGCCAGUCAUCAUCUAGCCCCUGUUCACUGGGGCAGACUGCAGUGUAAUGGCCACUCAUCAUUGGCAAGGGGGGUUUGGACCUGUUGCCUUUCCCUGCAACCCAGUACCUCUCUAGGCCUUCCUGUCAGGCUGCAGCCUGGGAGGUCACCAGGCCUAAGCUCCCCAGCUCAGCCUGCCCCUUCCCCAGCACUGCUCUGUCCAUGGUACCCUUUGCUCCUUCAGGCAGCUAGGUCCAUCUCUCCCCAAAGCUAGAGAGACACUCCUUUGUCUCCUGCCCCCACAGCCCUUUUAUCAGGGCCAGCUGGGCCCUGACUGGCAUGGCCGCAGCUGUGGCUGCUUCUCCAAUCAGCCUAGCUUGGCUGCUUCAAAAAACCCCUGUUCUCCAGGAAUGGGGCAGUCACCUCACUACACACUUCCUGUGUGGAGCAUAGUUCUGCCAAAUGCAAGAUUCAGGUCCUAAGUUCUACUGUGUCUGAUAAGAACACCACAGUUCAGCUAGUUCCUCAGUUGCUGCAAAGCAGCAUAACUUCAUUGACUUCAAUGGGACUCUGAUUUACACCAGCGAAGCAUCUGUGCUGUAAAGAAAGAGCUGUGGACAGUCUUUUGUUUCUGAUCUCUGUUCCCAGGUAUACCUACAGAGGCCUAGCUGCAAGUAUAAGGGCACCUUUCUAUUUCUUAGCUUGCCUGUUUUUAUGAUGGUGAAGAAAUAUCACACAGGAGAUUGCAGUCCCACAGAAAAUGGGGGACAGAAAGGAGGAGCUACGAAUAUCGAUGUUACUUCAAAGAACAAUGACUGUUUUGCAGAUUCCUCUGAUGAGGAGAAAGAAACCUAUCUUUAGAAAAGAAGCAUAAGUCCACUGUUAUAAAUAUAAAGGGAAGGGUAAACACCUUGAAAUCCCUCCUGGCCAGAGGAAAAACCCUUUCACCUGUAAAGGGUUAAGAAGCUAGGAUAACCCCGCUGGCACCUGACCAAAAUGACCA
Chelonia mydas (Green sea turtle) is the source of this 4092-nucleotide long non-coding RNA. RefSeq lists it as uncharacterized. The record is from RefSeq and is a predicted model, not a curated record. NCBI's taxonomy places the organism in Eukaryota, Metazoa, Chordata, Testudines, Cheloniidae. The transcript is spliced from 3 exons.